GUCCAUGGCCAUGCCACCCUGAACAAGCCCGAUGUCUGAUCUCGGAAGCUAAGCAGGGUCAGGCCUGGUUAGUACUUGGAUGGGAAACCACCUAGGAAGACCAGGUGCUCUAGGCA
This 116-nucleotide ribosomal RNA is filed under the name Pteropus alecto (black flying fox). The record is from RNAcentral. Lineage: Eukaryota; Metazoa; Chordata; Mammalia; Chiroptera; Pteropodidae.